UCCGUAGGUGAACCUGCGGAAGGAUCAUUAGAGAUGCCGAAAGGCUUUCCAAACACCUGUGCACUCGGCGGACCCGCUCCGUCCACACAAACGCAUGUCAUGAACGUAAUAUAUCAUAAUUAAAAACAACUUUCAACAACGGAUCUCUUGGCUCUCGCAUCGAUGAAGAACGCAGCGAAAUGCGAUAAGUAAUGUGAAUUGCAGAAUUCAGUGAAUCAUCGAAUCUUUGAACGCACCUUGCGCCUUUUGGUAUUCCGAAAGGCAUGCCUGUUUGAGUGUCAUGUAGACUCAACCCCUCGGGUUUUUGCCCGGGGUGAGUUUGGAUUUGGGCCUUGCCUGACCGGCUGGCCUUAAAAGUGUUAGUGGAUUCGCACAGACGUUGUAAGCACUCGUCGAGGCGGCCCGCUCAUAACCCCCCAUAUUUUGCACUCUGACCUCAAAUCAGGUAGGGCUACCCGCUGAACUUAAGCAUAUCAAUAAGCGGAGGA
RNAcentral lists this ribosomal RNA (488 nucleotides) under Tremella globispora. RNAcentral describes it as "eukaryotic LSU rRNA". The stretch from base 128 to 281 matches the Rfam family "5.8S ribosomal RNA". The record is from RNAcentral. Lineage: Eukaryota; Fungi; Basidiomycota; Tremellomycetes; Tremellales; Tremellaceae.